GACUCUCAGGACAUCUUAUAAUAAAAGCUCUUUGUUCUUAUGUGGAAUCUUAGAUGUUCCCAAUUCUAAAUUCUCAAGUUCUGGGUAAGAUGCCUUGGAAAAAUAUUAUAUAUCAUUACGUCUUCCUUUCAGCUACAAUUAUGGAUGAUGCUCAGCUCAAGUAGUUUAUUAUCGAGGUGACCUUACAAGUCAUUGCUGGAUAUAAUCUCCAACGCUAAUCCAACAAAAACAAACCCCUUAUCUCAAUGGAAGAUCAGUGUGCACCUAGAGGAUAAAACAGCAGCACUAUAAACAUGUCAUUUCACAAAGAAGCCAGUCUGCUGGUUUAAAGGGUAAAAUACAUGCUUUAUUCUACCAGAUCUAAUAUGUCACACACACACAAAAAAAAAAAAAAACCUUACAUGGUUGCCCCGUUGUCCUCAUCUGCAUUCCUUCUACCUGUUGACUGAUCUGAUUGGUUGCAGUAAUUAUUGAGUGGAUCUUAAAUUGAGCUGUCUGAGCUUUGAGCCUUCCACGUAUAAAGAAUUCACGGUGGCUUUGUAAUGAUUUAAACAAAAAAUUUUAAAGAAUUUUUUUUUUUUAAACACCAACCUGAAGAAGGAGGAGGAGGGAUUGGAAGUGAAACUUGCAUUUUGUUCUGCCUGGAUUCCUGCAUAAAGGAUAAUAACAGAGACAUUUUGGAUUAGAAAUGUUCUACAAGAAGAAGGCUUCUAGAAGAAGAGAUAGGGGGUACAGCACAUGAGGAGAAAGUCAGCAAAUCUGCACAAAUGGCUGGAAAAAAAAAAAAAAAAUAAGAAUAAAAUGAACUUACCAGACAUUGGAGAAGAUCAGUAUUUUUUUAUUUUAGUUUUUUUCCCCUCUGAUUUUUCAAGGAAAAGGGGGGAAAAAAACAAAAAAACAGAAAUCCCCAGGGAUGCUGCAGCCUGGUCUAGAGAGCUAAGUCCCUUCUCUAAAGGCAGAAAAUAAGGCUCAAGAGUGUAAUUUCUUCAAAGUUCCCGAAAUAAAGCAGGUCCCUCUGCUGUAAUGGAGGCUGUGGAUAUAGGAUACCAAUGUAUUAUGGCUACAGAUAUAGGUUUGGAUUUUUUCCCCACCAUGCCAUCUAUUUAAAAACUCUAGAAACCAAUGAUUUGACAAUCAAUGAUUGCGCGAUAGUUUCAAUUUGAAUAUUCAAAGCCCUAACAAAAAGACAGAUCUUUUGGUGAAACAAAGCCCGUGUGCCUGUACCUGAGGGUCUUUAGGAAUAAGAUUCGACGUCGAUCCCUCCCACCGGACUUUUCGGAAAGAAAUUUUUAACAUUUUUUAAAAGCUUUCCCUAAAAUGAGCAGAGGGGAGGUUAAUUAGCCCGGUAAUGGUGAGGCAGGGAGCUGCAGAUCCCCCCUCGCUGUUUUGUAAGGGAGAGCUAGUGAUUUGGGAACUUAGGGCGCAGGCGACGGAAUUUUGGGGGGUCGCGCGGGGCUGAUUCGAGGGCUUUUUAAGGGGGAUACGAGGCAGCUAGGCCAGCAGGGGGCGUGGCAGCCGAGCAGACAGUGCUGAGCAUUGUGUCUUUGUGUGACAGGAGCAGGCCGGGCGCCUCGCAGCCUCCUCUGCUCGGGUGCAGCAUGUUACCACUGCCUUUUACACCCCCCCGCGUCCGCGAUAUUACAGAGGGGCGCGCGACAUAAAGGCGUGAACGCGCCCGUGCAGUGUAAUCGUGUGAAAAUCCCAUAUGUCAUGGCUGUACACACGUGCUAUAUAAUGACACAUCCUACUAAUCCUAUCUUAGUUUAUAGGUACAGGAAUACGUGCGCACAGCGUCGGAAGCCGGGGGCUAUACGGAGAUUACCUGGAGCGGAGGUGUUGAUGCCGAUGGGGAGUGCGGGUGACCUCCUGUCCUUCUUUUUACUCCCCGUGCAGUAAUCACUACUAGUAUAAUAUUCUAGGCUUGCGGUAAGGCUGCGUUCACACGGCCCUUUGUAUUUUGCGGUCCGCAAAAAAAUAUGGAUGACAUCCGUGUUGCAUCCGUUUUUUUUUUUUUUUUUUUGCGGAUCC
This is a long non-coding RNA of Bufo bufo (common toad), 2028 nucleotides long. RefSeq lists it as uncharacterized. The transcript has 2 exons. Lineage: Eukaryota; Metazoa; Chordata; Amphibia; Anura; Bufonidae. The record is from RefSeq and is a predicted model, not a curated record.